Molecule: long non-coding RNA, 632 nt
Organism: Cyprinus carpio (common carp)
Lineage: Eukaryota; Metazoa; Chordata; Actinopteri; Cypriniformes; Cyprinidae
Source: Ensembl
GUGGUAAGUUUCAUAAAAAGGUACGUAGUGACUUUUUUACUCAGACAUAUUUGGAGAGCUACAUGUCUAUUAUUAUUUUUUUUAGGUGGCUGUGAGCCCAUAAUCAGUGUGACAGGAGGACAAAGUGUUUGCUCCGGUCAGGACUUUACCCUCACAUGUCAGUUGGAUUGUGAUGGACCAUCAAGCCAUGUAAAACUGGUGAAAGAUGAACAAAUUCAGUAUAGUCUUGAGUCUUUGCAUAACAAUCUCUCCUUACACGUUCACAGUGCAAAUAAGAGUCAUUCAGGAAUAUAUAGCUGCCAAACAGAGAAAGGUUCAAAAAGCAGGCUUCAAGUGAAAGUGGAAGACUGUAGUUUUUCUUCAACUUAUAUAUCAGAAUACUUACCCAUUGUAAAUACAACAUCAUCCUCUCUGACUAAUACCACAUACCAAGGCCACUCACCAUCAAGGGUCUUGGAGCCAGUGCUGAUAUGGUACUUGCUGUUCAAGACAGGGGUUUUCCUCAUCAUAUCAAUAACUGCAGCACUGAUAAUUGUGUGCCAGGAGCACUGAAAAAGACCUGAAUUUCUGUCAUGUAAAUUAAAAACUAUAUGCUUCUAAUAAAUCAUGUUCUGCAUGUAUCUUCUCUUGCA